CAGCUAAGGUCCCAAAGUCAUGGUUAAGUGGGAAACGAUGUGGGAAGGCCCAGACAGCCAGGAUGUUGGCUUAGAAGCAGCCAUCAUUUAAAGAAAGCGUAAUAGCUCACUGGUCGAGUCGGCCUGCGCGGAAGAUGUAACGGGGCUAAACCAUGCACCGAAGCUGCGGCAGCGACACUAUGUGUUGUUGGGUAGGGGAGCGUUCUGUAAGCCUGUGAAGGUGGCCUGUGAGGGUUGCUGGAGGUAUCAGAAGUGCGAAUGCUGACAUAAGUAACGAUAAAGCGGGUGAAAAGCCCGCUCGCCGGAAGACCAAGGGUUCCUGUCCAACGUUAAUCGGGGCAGGGUGAGUCGACCCCUAAGGCGAGGCCGAAAGGCGUAGUCGAUGGGAAACAGGUUAAUAUUCCUGUACUUGGUGUUACUGCGAAGGGGGGACGGAGAAGGCUAUGUUGGCCGGGCGACGGUUGUCCCGGUUUAAGCGUGUAGGCUGGUUUUCCAGGCAAAUCCGGAAAACCAAGGCUGAGGCGUGAUGACGAGGCACUACGGUGCUGAAGCGACAAAUGCCCUGCUUCCAGGAAAAGCCUCUAAGCAUCAGGUAACAUCAAAUCGUACCCCAAACCGACACAGGUGGUCAGGUAGAGAAUACCAAGGCGCUUGAGAGAACUCGGGUGAAGGAACUAGGCAAAAUGGUGCCGUAACUUCGGGAGAAGGCACGCUGAUAUGUAGGUGAAGCGACUUGCUCGUGGAGCUGAAAUCAGUCGAAGAUACCAGCUGGCUGCAACUGUUUAUUAAAAACACAGCACUGUGCAAACACGAAAGUGGACGUAUACGGUGUGACGCCUGCCCGGUGCCGGAAGGUUAAUUGAUGGGGUUAGCGGCAACGCGAAGCUCUUGAUCGAAGCCCCGGUAAACGGCGGCCGUAACUAUAACGGUCCUAAGGUAGCGAAAUUCCUUGUCGGGUAAGUUCCGACCUGCACGAAUGGCGUAAUGAUGGCCAGGCUGUCUCCACCCGAGACUCAGUGAAAUUGAACUCGCUGUGAAGAUGCAGUGUACCCGCGGCAAGACGGAAAGACCCCGUGAACCUUUACUAUAGCUUGACACUGAACAUUGAGCCUUGAUGUGUAGGAUAGGUGGGAGGCUUUGAAGUGUGGACGCCAGUCUGCAUGGAGCCGACCUUGAAAUACCACCCUUUAAUGUUUGAUGUUCUAACGUUGGCCCGUAAUCCGGGUUGCGGACAGUGUCUGGUGGGUAGUUUGACUGGGGCGGUCUCCUCCUAAAGAGUAACGGAGGAGCACGAAGGUUGGCUAAUCCUGGUCGGACAUCAGGAGGUUAGUGCAAUGGCAUAAGCCAGCUUGACUGCGAGCGUGACGGCGCGAGCAGGUGCGAAAGCAGGUCAUAGUGAUCCGGUGGUUCUGAAUGGAAGGGCCAUCGCUCAACGGAUAAAAGGUACUCCGGGGAUAACAGGCUGAUACCGCCCAAGAGUUCAUAUCGACGGCGGUGUUUGGCACCUCGAUGUCGGCUCAUCACAUCCUGGGGCUGAAGUAGGUCCCAAGGGUAUGGCUGUUCGCCAUUUAAAGUGGUACGCGAGCUGGGUUUAGAACGUCGUGAGACAGUUCGGUCCCUAUCUGCCGUGGGCGCUGGAGAACUGAGGGGGGCUGCUCCUAGUACGAGAGGACCGGAGUGGACGCAUCACUGGUGUUCGGGUUGUCAUGCCAAUGGCACUGCCCGGUAGCUAAAUGCGGAAGAGAUAAGUGCUGAAAGCAUCUAAGCACGAAACUUGCCCCGAGAUGAGUUCUCCCUGACUCCUUGAGAGUCCUGAAGGAACGUUGAAGACGACGACGUUGAUAGGCCGGGUGUGUAAGCGCAGCGAUGCGUUGAGCUAACCGGUACUAAUGAACCGUGAGGCUUAACCUU
This 1911-nucleotide ribosomal RNA is filed under the name Escherichia coli. Its description in RNAcentral is "partial 23S ribosomal RNA". It matches the Rfam family "Bacterial large subunit ribosomal RNA", at positions 1036 to 2925 of the family's 2925-position model. The record is from RNAcentral. Lineage: Bacteria; Pseudomonadati; Pseudomonadota; Gammaproteobacteria; Enterobacterales; Enterobacteriaceae.